Molecule: microRNA precursor, 65 nt
Organism: Cercocebus atys (sooty mangabey)
Lineage: Eukaryota; Metazoa; Chordata; Mammalia; Primates; Cercopithecidae
Source: Ensembl
CUAUUUUGUGUGAGUACAGAGAGCAUCUGAAUGGGUACAGUUGUUGUCUCUUAUUUCUCACACAG